UAAUCCACCAGCGAGAUUCGAACUCGCGACCCCUGGCUUACGAGACCAGUGCUCUAACCUCUGAGCUAUGGUAUC
RNAcentral lists this transfer RNA (75 nucleotides) under Araneus ventricosus. RNAcentral's name for it is "tRNA-Thr". Lineage: Eukaryota; Metazoa; Arthropoda; Arachnida; Araneae; Araneidae. The record is from RNAcentral.